CAAGGUCUGCAUCUUUAUCUAUAAUAGCAUUUUCAGGAUCUUCUUUAUGAUUCUCAACUUUAGGCUUAAGUGGUGGCUUGACCAACUCUAUAAGAUGGUCCAAAGAGGUUACUGGUGGUUUGCACUCUACCCCAUACUCAUCCACUUCCAUGGUUGUGAUCAUGCAUAGAUCUUUAUAGUGCUUAGGUGGAUUGAGUGAUUUGUAUACUUUGAAAACUACCUCUUC
RNAcentral lists this long non-coding RNA (226 nucleotides) under Capsicum annuum. Its description in RNAcentral is "long non-coding RNA (CANN_LNC002018)". The record is from RNAcentral. Lineage: Eukaryota; Viridiplantae; Streptophyta; Magnoliopsida; Solanales; Solanaceae.